This 275-nucleotide ribosomal RNA is filed under the name uncultured Chlamydiales bacterium. RNAcentral's name for it is "partial 16S ribosomal RNA". It matches the Rfam family "Bacterial small subunit ribosomal RNA", at positions 44 to 302 of the family's 1533-position model. Lineage: Bacteria; Pseudomonadati; Chlamydiota; Chlamydiia; Chlamydiales. The record is from RNAcentral.
GUGGAUGAGGCAUGCAAGUCGAACGAAACCACAGGGCAACUUGUGGUUUAGUGGCGGAAGGGUUAGUAAUACAUGAAUAACUUGCCUCUAACCUGGGGAUAACGACUGGAAACGGUCGCUAAUACCGAAUGAGGUCUAAGGGAGGAGUCUCUUUUAGAUCAAAGUAGGGGACUUGGAAACAAGCCUUGCGGUUAGAGAGAGGUUCAUGGGAUAUCAGCUAGUUGGAGUGGUAACGGCACACCAAGGCUAAGACGUCUAGGCGGAUUGAGAGAUUG